RNAcentral lists this ribosomal RNA (465 nucleotides) under uncultured bacterium. RNAcentral describes it as "partial 16S ribosomal RNA". It matches the Rfam family "Bacterial small subunit ribosomal RNA", at positions 28 to 507 of the family's 1533-position model. The record is from RNAcentral.
GACGAACGCUGGCGGCGUGCUUAACACAUGCAAGUCGAACGGAAAGGCCCCUUUGGGGGUACUCGAGUGGCGAACGGGUGAGUAACACGUGAGUAACCUGCCCUUGACUUCGGGAUAACUUCAGGAAACUGGGGCUAAUACCGGAUAGGAAUCCUUGCUGCAUGGUGGGGGUUGGAAAGCUUCGGCGGUUUUGGAUGGACUCGCGGCUUAUCAGCUUGUUGGUGGGGUAGUGGCUUACCAAGGCUUUGACGAGUAGCCGGCCUGAGAGGGCGACCGGCCACAUUGGGACUGAGAUACGGCCCAGACUCCUACGGGAGGCAGCAGUGGGGAAUAUUGCACAAUGGGCGGAAGCCUGAUGCAGCAACGCCGCGUGCGGGAGGACGGCCUUCGGGUUGUAAACCGCUUUCAGCAGGGGCGAAGCUUGUGGUGACGGUACCUGCAGAAGAAGCACCGGCUAACUACGUG